CCUACGGGAGGCAGCAGUGAGGAAUAUUGGUCAAUGGGCGCAAGCCUGAACCAGCCAAGUAGCGUGCAGGAUGACGGCCCUACGGGUUGUAAACUGCUUUUAUACGGGAAUAAAGUGAGUUACGUGUAGCUCUUUGCAUGUACCGUAUGAAUAAGGAUCGGCUAACUCCGUGCCAGCAGCCGCGGUAAUACGGAGGAUCCGAGCGUUAUCCGGAUUUAUUGGGUUUAAAGGGAGCGUAGGCGGGUGGUUAAGUUAGUUGUGAAAUCUCGAGGCUCAACCCGGGAAUUGCAGCGGCUACUGGCGGGCUUGAGACCAGUUGAGGGAGGCGGAAUGUGUGGUGUAGCGGUGAAAUGCUUAGAUAUCACGAAGAACACCGAUUGCGAAGGCAGCUUACUAAAGUGGUACUGACGUUGAUGCUCGAAAGCGUGGGUAUCAAACAGGAUUAGAUACCCGAGUAGUC
RNAcentral lists this ribosomal RNA (460 nucleotides) under uncultured bacterium. RNAcentral's name for it is "partial 16S ribosomal RNA". It matches the Rfam family "Bacterial small subunit ribosomal RNA", at positions 338 to 795 of the family's 1533-position model. The record is from RNAcentral.